CCUACGGGGGGCUGCAGUGGGGAAUAUUGGACAAUGGGGGCAACCCUGAUCCAGCCAUGCCGCGUGUGUGAAGAAGGCCCUCGGGUUGUAAAGCACUUUCAGUGAGGAAGAACACCUGGUGGUUAAUACCCAUCAGGAAAGACAUCACUCACAGAAGAAGCACCGGCUAACUCCGUGCCAGCAGCCGCGGUAAUACGGAGGGUGCGAGCGUUAAUCGGAAUUACUGGGCGUAAAGCGCGCGUAGGUGGCUUGAUAAGCCGGUUGUGAAAGCCCCGGGCUCAACCUGGGAACGGCAUCCGGAACUGUCAAGCUAGAGUGCAGGAGAGGAAGGUAGAAUUCCCGGUGUAGCGGUGAAAUGCGUAGAGAUCGGGAGGAAUACCAGUGGCGAAGGCGGCCUUCUGGACUGACACUGACACUGAGGUGCGAAAGCGUGGGUAGCAAACAGGAUUAGAUACCCGGGUAGUC
Molecule: ribosomal RNA, 465 nt
Filed under: Vreelandella stevensii
Lineage: Bacteria; Pseudomonadati; Pseudomonadota; Gammaproteobacteria; Oceanospirillales; Halomonadaceae
Description: partial 16S ribosomal RNA
Rfam family: Bacterial small subunit ribosomal RNA
Source: RNAcentral